UACGUAGGGGGCAAGCGUUAUCCGGAUUUACUGGGUGUAAAGGGAGCGCGGGCGGCAGGAUGAGUCUGAUGUGAAAACCCGCGGCUCAACCACGGGAUUGCAUUGGAAACUGUCCAGCUAGAGUGUCGGAGAGGUAAGCGGAAUUCCUAGUGUAGCGGUGAAAUGCGUAGAUAUUAGGAGGAACACCAGUGGCGAAGGCGGCUUACUGGACGAUGACUGACGCUGAGGCUCGAAAGCGUGGGGAGCAAACAGG
This 253-nucleotide ribosomal RNA is filed under the name uncultured bacterium. RNAcentral's name for it is "partial 16S ribosomal RNA". It matches the Rfam family "Bacterial small subunit ribosomal RNA", at positions 524 to 776 of the family's 1533-position model. The record is from RNAcentral.